AGAUUUAAGACUCGAGGAGAUGUCUUCGAUGGGAGUAGGAAACAAACCUUGUCUGGAUAUAACUCCGAGUCAAAAUCAGAUCUGUGAUCGUUCCAUAAGUUUUCAACAACUAAUCAAGAUGCCUCGUUUUCGUAACUCUGUAGUUAUUUCCAGUACGGACAAUCUAAAUAA
Molecule: non-coding RNA, 171 nt
Organism: Parasteatoda tepidariorum (common house spider)
Lineage: Eukaryota; Metazoa; Arthropoda; Arachnida; Araneae; Theridiidae
Source: RefSeq, a predicted model, not a curated record